UUUUGGUUAGCUCAGUUGGUAGAGCACUACACUGCUAAUGUAGCUGUCGCGGGUUCAAAUCCCGCACCAGACA
Molecule: transfer RNA, 73 nt
Filed under: Parvularcula sp.
Lineage: Bacteria; Pseudomonadati; Pseudomonadota; Alphaproteobacteria; Parvularculales; Parvularculaceae
Description: tRNA-Ser
Rfam family: tRNA
About the family: Transfer RNA (tRNA) molecules are approximately 80 nucleotides in length.
Source: RNAcentral